CUGCACGAAUGGCGUAACGACUUCUCUGCUGUCUCAACCACGAACUCGGCGAAAUUGCAUUACGAGUAAAGAUGCUCGUUACGCGCAGCAGGACGGAAAGACCCCGAGACCUUCACUAUAGUUUGGUAUUGGGCUUCGGUGUGGUUUGUGUAGGAUAGGUGGGAGAUGUUGAAGCCUGGUCGCCAGAUCGGGUGGAGUCGGCAAGUGAAAUACCACUCUGACCAUUCUGGAUUCCUUAACUUCGGACCCUGAUCGGGUUCAGGGACAGUGCCUGAUGGGUAGUUUAACUGGGGCGGUUGCCUCCUAAAGAGUAACGGAGGCGCCCAAAGGUUCCCUCAGCCUGGUUGGCAAUCAGGUGUCGAGUGUAAGUGCACAAGGGAGCUUGACUGUGAGACGGACGUGUCGAGCAGGAGCGAAAGCUGGGACUAGUGACCCGGCCAUGGCUUGUGGAAGCGUGGUCGCUCAACGGAUAAAAGGUACCUCGGGGAUAACAGGCUGAUCUUGCCCAAGAGUCCAUAUCGACGGCAUGGUUUGGCACCUCGAUGUCGGCUCGUCGCAUCCUGGGGCUGGAGUCGGUCCCAAGGGUUGGGCUGUUCGCCCAUUAAAGCGGUACGCGAGCUGGGUUUAGAACGUCGUGAGACAGUUCGGUCCCUAUCCGCUGCGUGCGUAGGAAAUUUGUGGAGGGCUGUCCUUAGUACGAGAGGACCGGGACGGACGAACCUCUGGUGUGCCAGUUGUACCGCCAGGUGCAUGGCUGGUUGGCUACGUUCGGGAAGGAUAACCGCUGAAAGCAUCU
This 796-nucleotide ribosomal RNA is filed under the name Burkholderia multivorans. Its description in RNAcentral is "bacterial LSU rRNA". It matches the Rfam family "Bacterial large subunit ribosomal RNA", at positions 1988 to 2782 of the family's 2925-position model. Lineage: Bacteria; Pseudomonadati; Pseudomonadota; Betaproteobacteria; Burkholderiales; Burkholderiaceae. The record is from RNAcentral.